ACCCGACCUUAGUUGCCAGCAUUCAGUUGGGCACUCUAAGGUGACUGCCGGCUAAAAGUCGGAGGAAGGUGGGGAUGACGUCAAAUCAUCAUGCCCCUUAUGACCUGGGCUACACACGUGCUACAAUGGGCGGUACAAAGGGUCGCGAACCCGCGAGGGGGAGCCAAUCCCAAAAAGCCGCUCUCAGUUCGGAUUGCAGGCUGCAACUCGCCUGCAUGAAGCCGGAAUCGCUAGUAAUCGCGGAUCAGCAUGCCGCGGUGAAUACGUUCCCGGGCCUU
This 278-nucleotide ribosomal RNA is filed under the name uncultured Anoxybacillus sp. RNAcentral describes it as "partial 16S ribosomal RNA". It matches the Rfam family "Bacterial small subunit ribosomal RNA", at positions 1103 to 1382 of the family's 1533-position model. Lineage: Bacteria; Bacillati; Bacillota; Bacilli; Caryophanales; Anoxybacillaceae. The record is from RNAcentral.